UGGGGAAUUUUGGACAAUGGGCGCAAGCCUGAUCCAGCCAUGCCGCGUGCAGGAUGAAGGCCUUCGGGUUGUAAACUGCUUUUGUACGGAACGAAAAGGUGCCUUCUAAUAAAGGGCGCUCAUGACGGUACCGUAAGAAUAAGCACCGGCUAACUACGUGCCAGCAGCCGCGGUAAUACGUAGGGUGCGAGCGUUAAUCGGAAUUACUGGGCGUAAAGCGUGCGCAGGCGGUCUUGCAAGACAGUGGUGAAAUCCCCGGGCUCAACCUGGGAACUGCCAUUGUGACUGCAAGGCUGGAGUACGGCAGAGGGGGAUGGAAUUCCGCGUGUAGCAGUGAAAUGCGUAGAUAUGCGGAGGAACACCGAUGGCGAAGGCAGUCCCCUGGGCCUGUACUGACGCUCAUGCACGAAAGCGUGGGGAGCAAACA
Molecule: ribosomal RNA, 427 nt
Filed under: uncultured bacterium
Lineage: Bacteria
Description: bacterial SSU rRNA
Rfam family: Bacterial small subunit ribosomal RNA
Source: RNAcentral